AGUUUUGUUAAGUAACUCGUUAGUUUCUGGGAGAUAGCUAGCCAACACUGCAAAAAGACAGCUGCAUAAACGCCACAUGCACAGGCCAUGGUGAUAAUUUCUUAUGUAGCCAGCUAUGUUUCCAGGCUGUGAUAUCAACACCCUGUAUAAUAAUUUCGUACUGGUUAGCUAUAGCAAUAUACUAAACAGCAGUAGCUCUAGUUAACUCAGCUGUCCAAGUUACUUACGGUCCGGGGGUCAGGCCUGAAGCUAGGAGCAAAACAGAGCACAGCCGGCUUCUCCAGUCCAGCAGGUUUGACACAAACAGCCUCUGAGGCCUCAGAAACAUUACCUGUCCAGACGGUUAACCACGUCCCUGACCGUGCUGAUGAGGUGGUCGUGCUCCUGGGGGUGAGCGAGGAUGAGGCUGUGGAGCCGCUUCAUGUAGG
Molecule: long non-coding RNA, 428 nt
Organism: Osmerus eperlanus (European smelt)
Lineage: Eukaryota; Metazoa; Chordata; Actinopteri; Osmeriformes; Osmeridae
Exons: 3
Source: RefSeq, a predicted model, not a curated record